CAGUCGCCGCGGUAAUGCGUAGAUCCCGAGCGUUGUCCGGAUUUAUUGGGCGUAAAGCGAGCGCAGGCGGUUAGAUAAGUCUGAAGUUAAAGGCUGUGGCUUAACCAUAGUACGCUUUGGAAACUGUUUAACUUGAGUGCAAGAGGGGAGAGUGGAAUUCCAUGUGUAGCGGUGAAAUGCGUAGAUAUAUGGAGGAACACCGGUGGCGAAAGCGGCUCUCUGGCUUGUAACUGACGCUGAGGCUCGAAAGCGUGGGGCGCAAACAGGAUUAGAUACCCCGGUAGUCCCUGUCUCUUAUACA
This 301-nucleotide ribosomal RNA is filed under the name uncultured bacterium. RNAcentral's name for it is "partial 16S ribosomal RNA". It matches the Rfam family "Bacterial small subunit ribosomal RNA", at positions 509 to 808 of the family's 1533-position model. The record is from RNAcentral.